RNAcentral lists this ribosomal RNA (427 nucleotides) under uncultured bacterium. RNAcentral describes it as "partial 16S ribosomal RNA". It matches the Rfam family "Bacterial small subunit ribosomal RNA", at positions 355 to 774 of the family's 1533-position model. The record is from RNAcentral.
UGGGGAAUAUUGCACAAUGGGCGCAAGCCUGAUGCAGCCAUGCCGCGUGUAUGAAGAAGGCCUUCGGGUUGUAAAGUACUUUCAGCGGGGAGGAAGGCGAUAAGGUUAAUAACCUUGUCGAUUGACGUUACCCGCAGAAGAAGCACCGGCUAACUCCGUGCCAGCAGCCGCGGGAAUACGGAGGGUGCAAGCGGUAAUCGGAAUUACUGGGCGUAAAGCGCACGCAGGCGGUCUGUCAAGUCGGAUGUGAAAUCCCCGGGCUCAACCUGGGAACUGCAUUCGAAACUAGCAGGCUAGAGUCUUGUAGAGGGGGGUAGAAUUCCAGGUGUAGCGGUGAAAUGCGUAGAGAUCUGGAGGAAUACCGGUGGCGAAGGCGGCCCCCUGGACAAAGACUGACGCUCAGGUGCGAAAGCGUGGGGAGCAAACA